UUCCUUUCCCUGAGGAAGGCAGUGGGGUAAUUUUUUGUCANUCAGGGAAGCAUGUUUCCACCGAGCGACCGUGGAUGAUGACGACCUUCCGGGUUGUAAGUCUCUGUCUUUUCGGAAGAACUACUACUUCUCUGAAUAGCAUUGCAUGUCUGACUGUCUCUACCAAAGGAAUCCCUGCCUAAUAUGUGACAGCAGCCGCGGUAAUAAGAGUGCGCGAGCUUCUUUGUUAUACACUGGGCGUAAAGCGCGCGUAGGGGGCAACGAAUUAAGCAGGUGAAAACCCCCGGCUCAUCCGGGGAGGUGCCUCUGAAACUGUUUCUCUAGAGUCCUAGAGGGGGGAGCAGANUUCCCCGUGUAGUGGUGAAAUGUUUAGAUAUUGUGAGGAAUACCCGUGGCGAAGGAGGCUCUCUGGACCCCUUCUGACACUGAGGUGCGAAAACGUGGUGAGCACACANGAUUAUAUACCCCCCGUAGUACACCCCCGUAAAAAGAUGCGCCCUAAGUUGCUGCGGGUUCAGACAUCUUCAGUGCCGAAGUAACGCGUAAGUGCCCCGCCUGGGAUACGUCCC
This 569-nucleotide ribosomal RNA is filed under the name uncultured bacterium. RNAcentral describes it as "bacterial SSU rRNA". It matches the Rfam family "Bacterial small subunit ribosomal RNA", at positions 329 to 888 of the family's 1533-position model. The record is from RNAcentral.